AGCAGCCGCGGUAAUUCCAGCUCCAAUAGCGUAUAUUAAAGUUGUUGCAGUUAAAAAGCUCGUAGUUGAAUUUCGGGAUUGACACAUCGGUCGUGCCUUAAGGGGUGUGAACUGGUGUAGUCAAUUUCUUACCUUCUGGAGAACCGCGAUGUCCUUAAUUGGGCGCCGCGAGGAACCAGGACCUUUACUUUGAAAAAAUUAGAGUGUUUAAAGCAGGCAUUUUUGCUUGAAUACAUUAGCAUGGAAUAAUAAAAUAGGACGGCAUGAUUCUAUUUUGUUGGUUUCUAGGAUCACCGUAAUGAUUAAUAGGGAUAGUUGGGGGCAUUAGUAUUCAAUUGUCAGAGGUGAAAUUCUUGGAUUUAUUGAAGACUUAACUACUGCGAAAGCAAUUUGCCAAGGAUGUUUUCAUUAAUCAAGAACGAAAGUUAGGGAUCGAAGACGAUCAGAUACCGUCGUAGUCUUAACCAUAAACUAUGACCGACUAGGAAUCAAGACGAUAGUUAAUUUUUAAUGUACUUCGUUGGCUACCGUUACGGGAAACCAAAGGUUC
Molecule: ribosomal RNA, 550 nt
Filed under: uncultured Glomus
Lineage: Eukaryota; Fungi; Glomeromycota; Glomeromycetes; Glomerales; Glomeraceae
Description: SSU rRNA
Rfam family: Eukaryotic small subunit ribosomal RNA
Source: RNAcentral